CCAAGGUGAUCAGAGUAUCAGCCGUGUUAUUCACAAAAACAAUGAGGAGAUGAUCAGAGAUGCAUUCCCACGCUCAGGGCGACCCUAAACCUCUGACUGCCAGAAGUUCUCCAACAUUUCCCUGUUCUGUAUGGUCCCCCUGAAGCUCUGGUACUGGCCACUGUUGGAGACAUGAUAUUGGGCUAGAUGGACCAGUUUUUAUAUGUUUUUAUGUUCUAAAAAGAAUCCCAAAUUUUAUUUUUAAUCUCAGGAAUUGAAAGCCAAUCUCAUGAUUUUUUGAAGCCUGAUUUAGGGUGUUUGAACACUUAGCGUUGGCAGUAUGGAAACUGACACAAGGAUUACAGGCCUAAAGGAAGUUACUCACAGAACUGGGAGUAGGAGUGGAAGUUGGGAAGUUCAUGGAAUCGCAGUGGGCCGUUAGAGCCUAUUGUUCUGAAUGCAGCCAUUUGGGAACCAAUUAAUCAUUCGUGUAAUGUUCCAAGUCCCAGAGAAGGGGAAACACGACAGGCAAAAGAAAAACCAAGCAAAAAAGAAACAGCAUAAA
Long non-coding RNA from Dermochelys coriacea (leatherback sea turtle), 544 nucleotides. RefSeq lists it as uncharacterized. The record is from RefSeq and is a predicted model, not a curated record. NCBI's taxonomy places the organism in Eukaryota, Metazoa, Chordata, Testudines, Dermochelyidae. The transcript is spliced from 2 exons.